ACAGAGCCAUGAAGAUAAAGCUGAGCUACACUAAUUGGAUCUUCUUGUCAUCGAUCAGAGAGCCAUCAAGAUGCAGCAGCUGGGGUACGCUAACGGGAUCUUUCUGUCAUUGGUGUCUCCUUUAGGCUGUAUUUGCAGCAACAGGCCCAAAAAUACAUUGAAGAAGUGAAUGUCACACUCGGAGGUCAUGUUUCCACCUGGGGCCUCACAAGCGAUUACCCCUACUGGCACCAACAGCGUAAAGAACACCCGGUGAGAGGUGAGGUUGACUGGAUCAGCUAUUCUGGAUGCAAUCCUCCCAAGCAUCAGGAAUUACCGAGAACUGAUUGCGCUGGCGUUUUUACGUGGUCCGUCAGUGCAGGCAUAACUGGUCCGUUUAGCCUUAAGCAGUACGCUGUGCUUCCUGUCAUGUGCGAAGGGCCAGCUCGGAAGAUAUUUGAGCUCGAGCUAAAUCGUCUCACCAUAACUUCUACAGGGCUGGAGUGGGGCCACCU
This is a long non-coding RNA of Dermacentor silvarum, 494 nucleotides long. RefSeq lists it as uncharacterized. The record is from RefSeq and is a predicted model, not a curated record. The transcript is spliced from 4 exons. NCBI's taxonomy places the organism in Eukaryota, Metazoa, Arthropoda, Arachnida, Ixodida, Ixodidae.